GGUAAAAAUUGAAACACGAAAAUAAAACGACCGUGAAAAUAUCAAGGAAACUCUUUUUAUAACAUUUACUUUUACCAGGUGUGACUUGAAUGGAGAGUUGUCUCAUUGGCACUCAUACCAUAUCUUCUAAUAUCUACGUAUAUAAGAAGAAUAUCUAUAGGACUACUGUAUAACACUGAUUUUAUAAACGACACAUAUAUAACUGAAAUCAUAGCUAUAUCUUCUAAUGAAAAGAAAUGUUAGAAGUAAUGAAUUUAACGCUAAUCAUUACAUCAUAAACACGGAAGUCAACAUUACGGAUAUUGUUAUGUAAAUAAACUCAUCAUAGAUACCAGGACGAAAUUUUAUAUAUACGCCAGACGCGCGUUUCGUCUACAAAAAACUCAUCAGUGACGCUCCAAUCCAAAAAGUAAAAAAAAAAAUAGCCAAAUAAAGAACGAAGUUGAAGAGCAUUGAGAUCCAAAAUUCCUAACAGUGUUGCCAAAUACAUCUAAGGUAAUCUAUGCCUGAGGUAGAAAAACAAAACUCGUUACAAAUAUGUAAAUGACACAGGUCAAUCAGUAAUAAAAAUAUA
Molecule: long non-coding RNA, 574 nt
Filed under: Mytilus galloprovincialis (Mediterranean mussel)
Lineage: Eukaryota; Metazoa; Mollusca; Bivalvia; Mytilida; Mytilidae
Source: RNAcentral